GAUGAACGCUGGCGGCGUGCCUAAUACAUGCAAGUCGAGCGAACGGACGAGAAGCUUGCUUCUCUGAUGUUAGCGGCGGACGGGUGAGUAACACGUGGAUAACCUACCUAUAAGACUGGGAUAACUUCGGGAAACCGGAGCUAAUACCGGAUAAUAUUUUGAACCGCAUGGUUCAAUAGUGAAAGACGGUUUUGCUGUCACUUAUAGAUGGAUCCGCGCUGCAUUAGCUAGUUGGUAAGGUAACGGCUUACCAAGGCAACGAUGCAUAGCAGACCUGAGAGGGUGAUCGGCCACACUGGAACUGAGACACGGUCCAGACUCCUACGGGAGGCAGCAGUAGGGAAUCUUCCGCAAUGGGCGAAAGCCUGACGGAGCAACGCCGCGUGAGUGAUGAAGGUCUUCGGAUCGUAAAACUCUGUUAUUAGGGAAGAACAUAUGUGUAAGUAACUAUGCACAUCUUGACGGUACCUAAUCAGAAAGCCACGGCUAACUACGUG
RNAcentral lists this ribosomal RNA (497 nucleotides) under uncultured bacterium. Its description in RNAcentral is "partial 16S ribosomal RNA". It matches the Rfam family "Bacterial small subunit ribosomal RNA", at positions 28 to 507 of the family's 1533-position model. The record is from RNAcentral.